Molecule: long non-coding RNA, 1230 nt
Filed under: Hordeum vulgare
Lineage: Eukaryota; Viridiplantae; Streptophyta; Magnoliopsida; Poales; Poaceae
Description: long non-coding RNA (HVUL_LNC020892)
Source: RNAcentral
AGUAUCGCAGGUGCUGGAAUGAUCAAGAAGGCAUGGAGAAGAAUAUAUGCUGGUAAUAUAGCUGUUCUAUUGGAUUGAUGGAUGUUCUGUAACUGUAAGUAAUUAUGCUCUUAGCUCUCUGUAUGUAUAUAGCUCAGUUUGCUGCUACUGGUUAGCUACUGUACUGCUCAGGCUUAUCUGAAUAUAGCCAUAUUACUCACUACUGGGCGUCUCAAAAACCUUUGUAAGCUUCCAUGACUAACCCUCAUGAUCAGAAUACAACACUCCAUGCUCUGUAUGGUCAAAUGCUCAAAUUCUAAAAAUGGCUAUCCAUACCAGUUCGAUAGUUUCAGAAUUCCUAAUUCUUCUCCCUAGUAAAAAACAAAAGGAGAUGCACGUAAUCAUGAAGGCAAAGCCCCAUAGCCAUAGGGAACCACGAAAAGCAUGUGGCUAUAAUACUGUAGCCGGAGUUCUUGGUUGUAGUGGGCUGUUCAAGACUAUUGACGUGAUCAGAUGUGCAUUCCAUGAACAUUCAACUGAUUGGAUAUUCACACAGGCACAUUGCUUUCAGAUAAUACAUCAUGUUGAAAAAUAAUUGAGCUUCAACAACUACCGGAAGAAAACUAACGUUGACUUGACUUGCAGGGUCUCUGGUUGCUUCUUGAUGGCUCAUGGCUUCAACAACCAGACUAGCAUGAUGCCCCACUUUCACCAACUCUGGUACUAUUUUGAUGAUUUCAGAUUCUGAAGGGCAAGCGAGAGCUACCUGCACAGGGCUGCCCUUUUUUCAGAUUCUGAAGCGCGCAAGAAGGUCACCACAGGUCCAAAUCUGGCCAGACCUACAGCGAUUACAGACCAGGUGCCAUUCUAAUGAUAUUAUCUCCUUCUAUUUGGUUCUGUUCCUAUUUCUCCUGUCAAUAUCCUAAGCUGGUCGAUGAAGUAUUGACCAGUUCUCCUUGCCAUUAAAUGCCAGGUAGGCGGUUCUCUGGUUUUAGUGGGUAAAGGUAACAAGGGAGCACCUCAAGUUGAAAUCAGAUCCAGCUACUUGUCAUCAACAGCAAGCUAGCAUACUCUCAGUCAUACAUAUGACUCCAUGAGAGUUCACGACCUCAACAGUUAAGCUUCAGUGCCAACAUAACCACCCAAGCCAUGAAGUCCUUUUUCCCCCGAGAAUCCAUGAGACUAUUCUGAUGAUUUCAGAUUCAGAAAUGCACAAGGUCACCAAGCUCGAUUGGAUCUAUGCCAUCAGGC